CACGUAGGAGGCGAGCGUUGUCCGGAAUCAUUGGGCGUAAAGAGCGCGCAGGCGGCUUGGCAAGUCGGGUGUGAAAUCCCGGGGCUCAACCCCGGGACUGCAUUCGAUACUGUCAGGCUAGAGGUAGGUAGGGGAGAUCGGAAUUCCUGGUGUAGCGGUGAAAUGCGUAGAUAUCAGGAGGAAUACCGGUGGCGAAAGCGACUCUCUGGACGGCAACUGACGCUGAGGCACGAAAGCGUGGGGAGCAAACAGG
Molecule: ribosomal RNA, 253 nt
Filed under: uncultured bacterium
Lineage: Bacteria
Description: partial 16S ribosomal RNA
Rfam family: Bacterial small subunit ribosomal RNA
Source: RNAcentral